CUUGAGCAGUGACACUCAGAAGUGCGCACACAAUCCCCGCUCCAGCCACACAGAGCGGAGCCCUGCGCCAGGCACCGGCUGCACUCUCCCACUUACUGGUGCGCCCAGCGCCCUGGGUGAGUGACUACCUGCAGACCCGCCCGCCUCGCUGCAUCCUCCCGCCACUGGGCCGCACGCUCCGCUCCCUUUGAAAGGACCUCCCGCCGCUUCCCGGCUGUGCAGGGUUCCCUGGCCCACGCCGUUCCCGCUCCAUUUCGCGGCAACUUUGGCGGCUGCCGCGGUGCCAGCUCUUCGCUGAUCUUUGAAGUUAGCGGCGCCCUACGCAAAGUUGGGACACUUGGGUCGGCUGAUUUUCCUCUUAUCUGCUUCCGCCCCUGCCCUACCGUCCUCUUGGUUCCUCAGUACCAGUGCUUAGCAUCUUGGCCAGAGCCAGGACGUGGACUGUUUCAUACGCCACACCUCGGGGAGGGAUCUUUCCUCUGCCCCCUGGAAGAGCAAACAUAUUUUAAGCAUCCUAAUCCUGAAUGACCACGGCUGUUUAUAAGGUACUUCCACAUCCACUGCUCCUCUUCAUCUUCAGAGCAGCCCAGAACAAUUAUGCUGUGCCCUGCUGCUCAUAAGAAAUCUGAAACCAAGUUUCAGGGAAGAGACUUGUCUGACGCACAGAAACUUUAAAUAAAGUGGUUACUCUCUGGCUUCAGAAGCAAAAUUGACAGAAAUGUCUACCAAUUUCAAGUUGAGACGAAUGGCCAAAUCAAUUUGCCUAGACACAAUUUGCUUAGCAUUUUCUCACAACUUAAUGAUUCAAAAAUGCCUUUUAUUUACCCUAAAUCCACAAGCUCAUCCCCAUAAUCUAAAUGUUUGCUUGCUUGUUUUUGGUAGUAAUGUAUUAGGUAAGUGUUUUGGGAAGCUCGUCAAACUCUUUCACUUUUACAUUGUUAUGUAAGCUAAAGCAUAAACAAGUCUGAGAUUAAGAACCACUAUGGUUCUUCAGGACCAAAAGGACUGGCCCUGAUAAAUAGGUAAGUAAUAUCCCACAUCUGUCCUGGAAAGUCUUCCUUGAUGGGGAUCACUGAAUGCGAGGUGGAGUGUCAGCCCCUGAAUUGUGGUGGGUCCUGAGGCUGACCUUCUGGCCCUGACACCCCAGCUGCAUCACGCAAGUCCUGCUCCCUCAUAAAGGCAAAGGACAGUGUCGGCUUCUGCAAGAAGUCCACUCAUGACCAUGAGAUCCCUCUUGAAGGCAGAUCCCUCUGCCUUUCUCCAGCCCUUGGGAGUCCAACAGCAGCCAUCAUGCAGGGGAGUUCUGUGCUCAAAGAUUCCCUGCCUGUUGAGUUUGAGCUCUCCCCUAGUAGACAGACUUAAACACAUCUUGGAGACAAGUCAUCUGGAAAAGGAAAGAGAAGACAUGCUUUUUUUUAAUAAGUAGAGCACAAGAAGAAAAACUGAGAUUAGAAAAGUCACAAAUGUAUUUGAGACAUGUAAUCCAUGAUAUGGAGACAUUGCACUGGUGCCGGGCCAUCACAAUUGAUGUGCUGCAGAAUCCUCUUUGAAACUGGUGGUGCUUACUAGUAGUUCACUAGUUGCUCCUCCAGGGCUUACUAGUGGUUCACAGGUUGUUCCUCCAGGACUUACUUUAGUUCACUAGUCUUUCCACCAGGUUUACUACUAGUUCACUAGUCUUGCCACCAGGGCUACUACUAGUUCACUAAUCUUGCCACCAGGGCUUACUAGUGGUUCACUAGUCUUUCUUCCAGGGAUUACUAGUACUUCAUGAGUCACGCCAUCAGGGCUUAUAGUGGUUCAUGAGUCAUUCCACUGGCACUAGUAGUAGUUCUCUGGCAUUCCUCUGGUGCUCACUAGUAGUUCUCCUGCAUUCCUCUGGUGCUCACUAGUAGUUCUCUGCAUUCCUCUGGUGCUCACUAGUAGUUCUCUGGCAUUCCUCUGGUGCUCACUAGUAGUUCUCUGGCAUUCCUCUGCUGCUCUCUAGUAGUAAUUCACUAACUGUUCCACUAGUCCAUUAACAGUGCAGCAUUCUUAAGGGUUAAGAGCUGAAGUUAGGUAUUUUUAGGAUCUUUCAAAUAAAUGAUUUCAAAAGUA
This is a long non-coding RNA of Sciurus carolinensis (gray squirrel), 2097 nucleotides long. RefSeq lists it as uncharacterized. The record is from RefSeq and is a predicted model, not a curated record. The transcript is spliced from 2 exons. NCBI's taxonomy places the organism in Eukaryota, Metazoa, Chordata, Mammalia, Rodentia, Sciuridae.